This 264-nucleotide ribosomal RNA is filed under the name uncultured archaeon. Its description in RNAcentral is "partial 16S ribosomal RNA". It matches the Rfam family "Archaeal small subunit ribosomal RNA", at positions 714 to 982 of the family's 1478-position model. The record is from RNAcentral.
AGACGUCUACAUUAGAUACCCCUGUAGUCCCAGCCGUAAACUAUGCGCGUUAGGUGUAUCGGUGACCACGAGUUACCGAGGUGCCGAAGGGAAACCGUGAAACGUGCCGCCUGGGAAGUACGGUCGCAAGGCUGAAACUUAAAGGAAUUGGCGGGGAGCACCACAACAGGUGGAGCCUGCGGUUUAAUUGGACUCAACGCCGGGAAGCUCACCGGAUAGGACAGCAGAAUGAUUGCCGAGAUGAAGACUCUGCUAGAUUUUCAG